AACACUGUUAACCUGCGGUACCUGCGGAAGGAUCAUUACGAGAGUGUCACCACUCCCAACCCAUUGUUUACCUACCCGUCCACCGUGCUUCGGCAGGCAGCCCUGUGGGACAGAGCCUCGCCCCCUUUCGCGGGGGGUGCCUGCCGCUUGCCAACCAAAACUCUAGCUGUUUUAGUACCAUCUGAGUCUUCCACAAAUGAACAAAACUUUCAGCAAUGGAUCUCAGAUCGGAAGAGCACA
This 240-nucleotide unclassified non-coding RNA is filed under the name soil metagenome. RNAcentral's name for it is "partial contains 5.8S ribosomal RNA, internal transcribed spacer 2, and large subunit ribosomal RNA". The record is from RNAcentral.